CAUGAAGCUGGAUUCGCUGUAAUCGCGCAUCAGCCACGGCGCGGUGAAUACGUUCCCGGGCCUUGUACACACCGCCCGUCAAGCCAUGGGAGUCGGGAGUGCCUGAAGUGCGUGAGCGCGAGCAGCGCCCUAGGGCAAAACCGAUGACUGGGGCUAAGUCGUAACAAGGUAUC
This 173-nucleotide ribosomal RNA is filed under the name uncultured bacterium. RNAcentral describes it as "partial 16S ribosomal RNA". It matches the Rfam family "Bacterial small subunit ribosomal RNA", at positions 1319 to 1500 of the family's 1533-position model. The record is from RNAcentral.